GGGCCCGCACAAGCGGCGGAGCAUGCGGAUUAAUUCGAUGCAACGCGAAGAACCUUACCAAGGCUUGACAUAUAGAGGAAAAGUGUAGAAAUACACUCCCCGCAAGGUCUCUAUACAGGUGGUGCAUGGUUGUCGUCAGCUCGUGUCGUGAGAUGUUGGGUUAAGUCCCGCAACGAGCGCAACCCUCGUCCUAUGUUGCCAGCACGUAAUGGUGGGAACUCAUGGGAUACUGCCGGGGUCAACUCGGAGGAAGGUGGGGAUGACGUCAAAUCAUCAUGCCCCUUAUGUCUUGGGCUUCACGCAUGCUACAAUGGCCGGUACAGAGGGCAGCGAUACCGCAAGGUGGAGCGAA
RNAcentral lists this ribosomal RNA (352 nucleotides) under uncultured bacterium. Its description in RNAcentral is "bacterial SSU rRNA". It matches the Rfam family "Bacterial small subunit ribosomal RNA", at positions 917 to 1271 of the family's 1533-position model. The record is from RNAcentral.